This 715-nucleotide long non-coding RNA is filed under the name Nannospalax galili (Upper Galilee mountains blind mole rat). RNAcentral's name for it is "lncRNA (ENSNGAG00000024520.1)". Lineage: Eukaryota; Metazoa; Chordata; Mammalia; Rodentia; Spalacidae. The record is from RNAcentral.
GCUGUGUGUGAAGCUGCUGCUGCUGCCUGCGGGUUCCGCAGGAAAAGAACAUUGCCCAGAAAAAAACAGAGAAAGUCGUUAGGGUUAGGGUUAGGGUUAGGAUUAGUGUUAGGGUUAGGGUUAGGGUUAGGGUAUAGGGGUUAGGGGUUAGGGUUAGGGUUAGGGUUAGGGGUUAGGGGUUAGGGGUUGGGGUAGGGUAGGGUUAGGGUUAGGGUUGGGUUAGGGUUAAGGUAAGGUUUAGGGUUGUUAGGGUUAGGGUUAGGGGUUAGGGUUAGGGUUAAUGUUACAGUUAGGGAUAGGGCCAGGGUCAGGGUCAGGAUUUUAGGGUUAGGGUCUGGGUCAGGGUCAGGGUCAGGUUCAGGGUUAAGGGUUACGGGCGAGGGGUUAGGGUUAGGGUUGGGGUUGGGGUUGGGCUUGGGUUUAGGGUUUGGGUUAGGGUUAGGGUUUCAGGAUUUUACGGUUAGGGUUUUUGGGUUAGGGUUAGGGUUAGGGUUUUAGGGUUAGGGUUAGGGUUAGGGUUAGGGUUAGGGUUGUUCGGAUUGUUAGGGUUAUUAGGGUUGUUAGGGUUAGUGUUAGCAUUAGGGCUAGGUCUAAGGCUAGGGCUAGGGUUUGGUGUAGGGUUAGGGGUAGGGUUAGGGGUAGGUGUAGGGGUAGGGGUAGGGGUAGGGGUAGGGUUUUAGUGUUGGGUUAGGGUUAGUGUUACGGUUAGGGUUAG